AGCAGCAGCCGCGGGAAUACAGAGGGUGCGAGCGUUAAUCGGAUUUACUUGGCGUAAAGCGUGCGUAGGCGGCUAAUUGAGUCGGAUGUGAAAUCCCCGAGCUUAACUUGGGAAUUGCAUUCGAUACUGGUUAGCUAGAGUGUGGGAUAGGAUGGUAGAAUUCCAGGUGUAGCGGUGAAAUGCGUAGAGAUCUGGAGGAAUACCGAUGGCGAAGGCAGCCAUCUGGCCUAACACUGACGCUGAGGUACGAAAGCAUGGGGAGCAAACAGGAUUAGAUACCCGGGUAGUCCCUGUCUCUUAUAC
This 303-nucleotide ribosomal RNA is filed under the name uncultured bacterium. Its description in RNAcentral is "partial 16S ribosomal RNA". It matches the Rfam family "Bacterial small subunit ribosomal RNA", at positions 507 to 807 of the family's 1533-position model. The record is from RNAcentral.